AAGAGCAGAAAAGGCAGUGGACAAGAGCUGCUGCUGAAGCCUUGAGUUAUCCACCUUGGUGAUGAACCCUCUGGAGAUUAUUUUUCCUAUGGAGCACACUGUUUUCAGAUGUGACCUUAUCUACAGAGACUAAAAAGUGCGAAGACAGAUCUUGGCAAGAUGGUUUCUCAAUUUCAUGCGGAAAACAAACAGCCCCUCAGCAAAAACAGACAUUUCAAGAGUUUUCAGACAUCACCUGUGCCUCCAAGGACUGAGAUGGGACAGAAGGAUGUUGUGGACUCCACUUCUGCAAAGCUCAAGAAAGAACUGGAGUGGCAGGUGGAGGAGAUUUCUGAAUUCCAUGAAUAUAAACUUCAUAGGCAUCAGCAGGUUCCUUGUUUGGAGGACAUAAGACAUUUGAAGGUAUGUUUGCAAAAGCUGAUGAAAGGGAUAGAAGAAAAGGAAAGGGACAUUAUAAAGGAAAAAAGAGAAAUAUUGGAAGAAAGAGAACUAGUCUUACAACAGGACAACAUCUUAAAGGACAUGCAGAUAAAAAUAAGCCACUUAGUAGAACAGCUCAAGAACUCUGAACUAAUUGGGUUAAAACUUUCAAAGCAAUUGCGGAAUCAGAUAGAAGCCUUGGGAGCAGGAAGCAGCCAACAAGAAGAGAAGGUGGACAACUGCACAAGCUCUCCCACUCAGAAGACAACCAUGGUGAAACAGACCCAGACAUCAAUGACUGGCUACCUAAAAAAAUUAUCUUCAUGUCUUAGGAACAGUUUAUGGCAGAUUGGCAGGCUCUUGCUACAUUCUGGCUGCUCUUUUAUAGUAAUGCUUUUAUUUUACAAAUACUUAUCUGAUUUUACCUGGAUAUGUUGUCUACUGAAGAGCAUCUCCCAGAAGUACUUCAAAACUUGUGCAUGGCCACAUUAACCCUAGAAAAUUUUAAAGACUCCACACUGGGCUUUUGUAUGGUUGCUGUGUUGCUUCUAUGAAGACCCCACUUUACAAUAAAGCUGUCAUUAAUGCUGAAACCA
Long non-coding RNA from Anser brachyrhynchus (Pink-footed goose), 1016 nucleotides. The record is from Ensembl. Lineage: Eukaryota; Metazoa; Chordata; Aves; Anseriformes; Anatidae.